UAAUGUCUGGGAAACUGCCUGAUGGGGGGGGAUAACUACUGGAAACGGUAGCUAAUACCGCAUAAUGUCGCAAGACCAAAGUGGGGGACCUUCGGGCCUCAUGCCAUCAGAUGUGCCCAGAUGGGAUUAGCUAGUAGGUGGGGUAACGGCUCACCUAGGCGACGAUCCCUAGCUGGUCUGAGAGGAUGACCAGCCACACUGGAACUGAGACACGGUCCAG
Molecule: ribosomal RNA, 220 nt
Filed under: uncultured bacterium
Lineage: Bacteria
Description: partial 16S ribosomal RNA
Rfam family: Bacterial small subunit ribosomal RNA
Source: RNAcentral